Molecule: ribosomal RNA, 2241 nt
Filed under: freshwater metagenome
Description: bacterial LSU rRNA
Rfam family: Bacterial large subunit ribosomal RNA
Source: RNAcentral
ACGAUAGCGUAAGGGCGCACGGGGGAUGCCUAGGCUCUCAGAGGCGAUGAAGGACGUGAUAAGCUGCGAAAAGCUACGGGGAUUGGCCAAUGCGAAUUGAUCCGUAGAUAUCCGAAUGGGGCAACCCACCAUGUAAAUGGUAUAUCGUAAGAUAGGCGAACGUGGGGAACUGAAACAUCUAAGUACCCAUAGGAGGAGAAAACAACAGUGAUUCCGUGAGUAGUGGCGAGCGAAAGCGGAGGAGCCCAAACCGAGUAUGUUACGGCAUGCUUGGGGUAAUAGGACCUGCAUAAGAGUAAUUAACUAGACGAGAAUGGCAUGGGAAGGCCAACGAUAGAGGGUGAGAGUCCCGUAUUGGAAUAGUUGAUUAUUUGGCGGGUAUCCUGAGUAGGUCGGGACCGGAGGAAUCCCGAUUGAAUUAACCAGCACCAUCUGGUAAGGCUAAAUACUCCUGAGAGACCGAUAGUGAACUAGUACCGUGAGGGAAAGGUGAAAAGUACUCCGAAUAGGAGGGUGAAAUAGAACCUGAAACCGUGCGCUUACAAGCGGUCGGAGCCCUUUAGUGGGGUGACGGCGUGCCUUUUGCAUAAUGAGCCUACGAGUUACACCUCUCUGGCAAGGGUAAGGUAUUCAGUACUGUACCCGGAGCGAAAGCGAGUCUGAAAGGGCGUUAAGUCGGAGGGGGUAGACGCGAAACUUAGUGAUCUACCCAUGGCCAGGUUGAAGUUCCGGUAACACGGAAUGGAGGACCGAACUGAUAAGCGUUGAAAAGCUUCCGGAUGAGCUGUGGGUAGGGGUGAAAGGCUAAUCAAACUGAGAAAUAGCUCGUACUCCCCGAAAUGUUUUUAGGAACAGCGUCGGGAAUUGUAUGAUGGAGGUAGAGCUACCGAUAGGACUAGGGGGAGUCACAUCCUACCAAAUCCUGACGAACUCCGAAUGCCAUCAUAUAGAACCGGCAGUGAGGGCUGGGGUGCUAAGGUCCCAGUCCGAGAGGGAAAGAACCCAGACCUUCCGCUAAGGUCCCCAAAUAUAGGUUAAGUUGAACAAAGGUGGUCCAGUUGCACAGACAGCCAGGAGGUUAGCUUGGAAGCAGCUAUUCCUUUAAAGAGUGCGUAACAGCUCACUGGUCGAGCGACAGGGCGUCGAUAAUAAUCGGGCAUCAAACCUAAUACCGAAGCGAAGGAUUGCAGUGAUGCAGUGGUAGGGGAGCAUUCCAAAGACGGCGAAGGUAUCCUGUAAGGGGUGCUGGAGAUUUUGGAAAAGCAAAUGUAGGCAUAAGUAACGAUAAGGCGGGCGAGAAACCCGCCCACCGUAAGACCCAGGUUUCCUGAUCAACGUUAAUCGGAUCAGGGUUAGUCGGGGCCUAAGGCGAACCCGAGAGGGGUAGUCGAUGGACAAUGGGUUAAUAUUCCCAUACUAUUUAUACAGGCGAAGGAGAGACGGAGUGAUGAAAGAUCCGCCCGGUGACGGAAUACCGGGUUAAAGCGAGUAGGUAUUGGUUUGGUAGUUAAAUGCGCCAAGCUAGCCGAACGUGAUAGUACCGAGCGUCUUCGGACAAUUGGAUAGUGAUCCUAAGGGCUUCCAAGAAAAACUUCUAGCGUUAAGCGUAUAGAUACCCGUACCGCAAACCGACACAGGUGGUCGAGGAGAGAAUCCUAAGGUGCUCGAGUGAAUCAUGGCUAAGGAACUCGGCAAAAUGGCCCUGUAACUUCGGGAGAAGGGGCGCUCUAGCGAUAGAGCCGCAGUGAAAAGGCCCAGGCGACUGUUUAACAAAAACACAUGGCUUUGCAAAAUCGCAAGAUGAAGUAUAAGGCCUGACACCUGCCCGGUGCUGGAAGGUUAAGAGGGGAUGUUAGGUGGCAACACCGAAGCAUUGAAUUGAAGCCCCAGUAAACGGCGGCCGUAACUAUAACGGUCCUAAGGUAGCGAAAUUCCUUGUCGGGUAAGUUCCGACCUGCACGAAUGGUGUAACGAUCUGGGCGCUGUCUCAGCCAUGAGCUCGGUGAAAUUGUGGUAUCGGUGAAGACGCCGAUUACCCGCAACGGGACGGAAAGACCCCAUGCACCUUCACUAUAACUUAACAUUGAUAUUUGAUACAGGAUGUGUAGGAUAGGUGGGAGACUGUGAAUUGGCUUCGCUAGGAGUCAAGGAGUCGACGUUGAAAUACCACCCUUUGUGUAUCGGGUGUCUAACCUGCGAGAACUGGGGACAUUGUUAGGUGGUAUAUCGUGACUGGGAAAC